UAAUCCUUUUUUAUAUUAUUCUUCAAUAUUUCAUCUUUCGCUUCUCUCUCAUCUUUAAGUGCCUUUUUUUCUUCUGAAAUUGAAAAAACUUAUACCAAAAGAUAUUCACAACAAUCCUAUUGAUUCAGGGAACUGGCUUUGCGUGCAAAGAUCCACCUAAGAAUGCUCCUCACAUGCAGUGCUACGCUACACGUUAACAAUGAAAUUAAAUAUCAUUUGACUUGACUGAUACUAUUUACGAGCAUCAGUAUAAAUUAUUUUGUGAAAAAAUAUUAUUUGAGAAUAA
This is a long non-coding RNA of Solanum pennellii, 286 nucleotides long. RefSeq lists it as uncharacterized. The transcript has 2 exons. The record is from RefSeq and is a predicted model, not a curated record. NCBI's taxonomy places the organism in Eukaryota, Viridiplantae, Streptophyta, Magnoliopsida, Solanales, Solanaceae.